GAUGAACGCUGGCGGCGUGCCUAAUACAUGCAAGUCGAACGAAUCUUCUUCGGAAGAUGAGUGGCGAACGGGUGAGUGAUACAUAGGUAACCUGCCCCUGUGCGGGGGAUAACAGGAGGAAACUCCUGCUAAUACCGCAUAGCCAUGAGCACCGCAUGGAGCUCAUGCCAAAUAUCCUUUCGGGGAUAGCGCAGGGAUGGACCUAUGGCGCAUUAGCUGGUUGGCGGGGCAACGGCCCACCAAGGCAACGAUGCGUAGCCGGCCUGAGAGGGCGUACGGCCACAUUGGGACGGAGACACGGCCCAGACUCCGCAGGGAGGAAGCAGGAGGGCAUUUUCGGCAAUGGGGGAAACCCUGACCGAGCAACGCCGCGUGAGCGAAGAAGGCCUUCGGGUCGUAAAGCUCUGUUGUAAAGGAAGAACGGCGCAUACAGGAAAUGGUAUGCGAGUGACGGUACUUUACCAGAAAGCCACGGCUAACUACGUGCCAGCCGCCGCAGUAA
RNAcentral lists this ribosomal RNA (502 nucleotides) under uncultured bacterium. RNAcentral describes it as "partial 16S ribosomal RNA". It matches the Rfam family "Bacterial small subunit ribosomal RNA", at positions 28 to 523 of the family's 1533-position model. The record is from RNAcentral.